This 245-nucleotide ribosomal RNA is filed under the name uncultured Lactobacillus sp. RNAcentral's name for it is "partial 16S ribosomal RNA". It matches the Rfam family "Bacterial small subunit ribosomal RNA", at positions 116 to 355 of the family's 1533-position model. The record is from RNAcentral. Lineage: Bacteria; Bacillati; Bacillota; Bacilli; Lactobacillales; Lactobacillaceae.
CGUGGGUAACCUGCCCAAGAGAUCGGGAUAACACCUGGAAACAGAUGCUAAUACCGGAUAACAACAGAUGAUGCCUAUCAACUGUUUAAAAGAUGGUUCUGCUAUCACUCUUGGAUGGACCUGCGGUGCAUUAGCUAGUUGGUAGGGUAACGGCCUACCAAGGCGAUGAUGCAUAGCCGAGUUGAGAGACUGAUCGGCCACAUUGGGACUGAGACACGGCCCAAACUCCUACGGAGGCAGCAGCC